AAACUUAAUCAAGAUUGUGUGGAAAAUUCUUCAGCGCCAUUAAAACAAAAGGAGGUCUUCAUGACCAUCCCUCCCCUCUAGAAUUUAAAUACAGGUUGCGAUCGUACAUUUUAGGUCGCGAUGACCAUGUACUAAGCUAUCAUGCAAAUGUGAAGGCAACUGAAGACGAAGUCCUAACCAACUUCGAAACAGACGAGACAUUUUUAACUCAGCAGUUAUACAGAGAUGUUAUAGAAAAUGAAGAAAAUACAUUUGAAGAACUCUUAGAUAUUUCCGAAGAACAAGAUGCAACAGAAGUAGAAACCGCUUUAUCAACAUUGAAUGAUAUAGAAUUUGAUGGAUUGGAAAACUUUGGAGGAUACCUUGUAUCGAAAUUAAAACUAUCAGGAUGUGGUGAAAGAACUGAUAAAGAACAGCAAACAAAUUACUCCUAUGUAAACCAAUUAUCUGAGGGUGGGCUGUUUAAACCAAACAAUAGUUUUAUGGCCAUUUUAGAAAAUCUAAACCAAAUAUUUGUAAAGUACAAUAGCGAUAAAUUAAAUACUAACCCGCAUUAUUUGAGCAAUCUCUUAAAACUUUCGAAGCAUGUACAAAUUGAUGAACACGUAAAAAAACGAUUUUU
This is a long non-coding RNA of Rhagoletis pomonella (apple maggot), 622 nucleotides long. RefSeq lists it as uncharacterized. The record is from RefSeq and is a predicted model, not a curated record. The transcript is spliced from 3 exons. NCBI's taxonomy places the organism in Eukaryota, Metazoa, Arthropoda, Insecta, Diptera, Tephritidae.